This 268-nucleotide ribosomal RNA is filed under the name unidentified gamma proteobacterium groupD. RNAcentral describes it as "partial 16S small subunit ribosomal RNA". It matches the Rfam family "Bacterial small subunit ribosomal RNA", at positions 1106 to 1373 of the family's 1533-position model. Lineage: Bacteria; Pseudomonadati; Pseudomonadota; Gammaproteobacteria. The record is from RNAcentral.
UAUCCUUAUUUGCCAGCGCGUUAUGGCGGGAACUCUAAGGAGACUGCCGGUGAUAAACCGGAGGAAGGUGGGGACGAGGUCAAGUCAUCAUGGCCCUUACGGGAUGGGCUACACACGUGCUACAAUGGCAGGUACAGAGGGCAGCAAUACCGCGAGGUGGAGCGAAUCCCACAAAGCUUGUCGUAGUCCGGAUUGGAGUCUGCAACUCGACUCCAUGAAGUCGGAAUCGCUAGUAAUCGUAGAUCAGAAUGCUACGGUGAAUACGUUC